GCCAUGCUCUGGAACCACUUGCUUUUGUGUUUCUUCCUAGUUGUGGAUAUCUACCCAAGAACUACAGGUUUCAAAUCCUGUAAGGAACGGUCGAGACUGUGUGAACCAGGCACCAGACCCAACUGCCUCGUAAAAAACAACAAAAUGCAAUAUUUUGAAUGUUCCAAUAAAGAGCGUAACUGUAAAGAUUCCUGGACCAGGGAAUGCAGAAAAUCAACUAGCAUUUCUUGUACUACUGCUGAGACCUACUGUGAUUGUGUUUGUUAUACACGUUCUUUGACUAAACCGAAGCCUAAAAGAACGUGACGCUCGAGUACAAAACGCUAGGAUGUCAAGGAAGCAUCACACAGAUUCCUCGUCCUUCUCUUUGCCCUGACCCUGCAUGAUAUGCCUUAUUUUUCAGCUACCACAUUUUAGUAAGCAAUAAACGUGUGUUUUACUUCUA
Non-coding RNA from Dermacentor andersoni, 445 nucleotides. The record is from RefSeq and is a predicted model, not a curated record. NCBI's taxonomy places the organism in Eukaryota, Metazoa, Arthropoda, Arachnida, Ixodida, Ixodidae.